Molecule: ribosomal RNA, 500 nt
Filed under: uncultured bacterium
Lineage: Bacteria
Description: partial 16S ribosomal RNA
Rfam family: Bacterial small subunit ribosomal RNA
Source: RNAcentral
AUUGAACGCUGGCGGCAUGCCUUACACAUGCAAGUCGAACGGCAGCACGGAGCUUGCUCUGGUGGCGAGUGGCGAACGGGUGAGUAAUAUAUCGGAACGUACCCAAGAGUGGGGGAUAACGUAGAGAAAAUUACGCUAAUACCGCAUACGAUCUCAGGAUGAAAGCAGGGGACCUUCGGGCCUUGUGCUCCUGGAGCGGCCGAUAUCUGAUUAGCUAGUUGGUGGGGUAAAGGCCCACCAAGGUAACGAUCAGUAGCUGGUCUGAGAGGACGACCAGCCACACUGGAACUGAGACACGGUCCAGACUCCUACGGGAGGCAGCAGUGGGGAAUUUUGGACAAUGGGGGCAACCCUGAUCCAGCAAUGCCGCGUGAGUGAAGAAGGCCUUCGGGUUGUAAAGCUCUUUUGUCAGGGAAGAAAAGGGAUUGGCUAAUAUCUAGUCCUCAUGACGGUACCUGAAGAAUAAGCACCGGCUAACUACGUGCCAGCCGCCGCCGUAA